GAGGAACGCUGGCGGCGGGCCUAAUACAUGCAAGUCGAGCGAAGAGAUGAGGAGGUUGGUCCUCUGACGUUAGCGGCGGAGGGGGGGGUAGCACUUCGAUAACCUACCUAUAAUACUGGGGGAAAUUCGGGAGAACGUAGCGAAAACAGGAUAAUAUAUUGAAGGGCAUGGGUAAAGAGUGAAAGACGGUUUUGCGGUCGCUUAUGGAUAUAUCCGCGCCGCAUUAGCUAGUUGGUAAGGUAAAGGCUUACCAAGGCAACGAUGCGUAGCCGGUCUGAGAGGGUGAUCAGCCACACUGGAACUGAGACACGGUCCAGACUCCUACGGGAGGCAGCAGUAGGGAAUCUUCCGCAAUGGGCGAAAGCCUGAUCCAGCAACGCCGCGUGAGUGAUGAAGGCCUUCGGAUCGUAAAGCUCUGUUAUUAGGAAAGAACAAAUGCGUAAUUAACUAUGCACGUCUUGACGGUACCUAAUGAGAAAGCCCCGGCUAACUACGUG
This 497-nucleotide ribosomal RNA is filed under the name uncultured bacterium. RNAcentral's name for it is "partial 16S ribosomal RNA". It matches the Rfam family "Bacterial small subunit ribosomal RNA", at positions 28 to 507 of the family's 1533-position model. The record is from RNAcentral.